GACUCAGUAGUUCAACUGGAUAGAACAUCAGAUUUCGGCUCUGAGGGUUGGGGGUUCGAGUCCUCUCUGAGUCG
This 74-nucleotide transfer RNA is filed under the name Tenacibaculum discolor. RNAcentral describes it as "tRNA-Arg". It matches the Rfam family "tRNA". Rfam says of the family: Transfer RNA (tRNA) molecules are approximately 80 nucleotides in length. Their secondary structure includes four short double-helical elements and three loops (D, anti-codon, and T loops). The record is from RNAcentral. Lineage: Bacteria; Pseudomonadati; Bacteroidota; Flavobacteriia; Flavobacteriales; Flavobacteriaceae.